AUUUAAGGAUGCCGGUGAUCCGGUGAUUUGCCUGAAGCAUCCCGUCGACGUGAUUAGAUGAAAAUGGAGAGGGGACUGCUGCUGUCACCGCCACACACAACACUAGUCAGGGACUGAGAGGCACUGUGGUGCAGAGAGACGUCCCAGGCCGAAGAGCAUCGGACCUAUGAUGGAUUUCUCGUGUGAUGAGCCGGCUAAAGGCCCACCGGUCCAGAUGCACAGCCUCAGAGAGUUUGAAC
This 239-nucleotide long non-coding RNA is filed under the name Cottoperca gobio. RNAcentral describes it as "lncRNA (ENSCGOG00000000610.1)". Lineage: Eukaryota; Metazoa; Chordata; Actinopteri; Perciformes; Bovichtidae. The record is from RNAcentral.